CUACGGAGGAUCCGAGCGUUAUCCGGAAUCAUUGGGUUUAAAGGGUCCGUAGGUGGACGAUUAAGUCAGAGGUGAAAUCCUGCAGCUCAACUGUAGAAUUGCCUUUGAAACUGGUCGUCUUGAAUUACUGUGAAGUGGUUAGAAUAUGUAGUGUAGCGGUGAAAUGCAUAGAUAUUACAUAGAAUACCGAUUGCGAAGGCAGAUCACUAACAGUAUAUUGACACUGAUGGACGAAAGCGUGGGGAGCGAACAGGAUUAGAUACCCUGGUAGUCCACGCCGUAAACGAUGGUCACUAGCUGUUCGGACUUCGGUCUGAGUGGCUAAGAGAAAUUGAUAAGUGACCCACCUGGGGAGUACGUUCGCAAGAAUGAA
RNAcentral lists this ribosomal RNA (373 nucleotides) under uncultured bacterium. RNAcentral describes it as "bacterial SSU rRNA". It matches the Rfam family "Bacterial small subunit ribosomal RNA", at positions 523 to 898 of the family's 1533-position model. The record is from RNAcentral.